CAGUAGCCGCGGUAAUACGUAGGGUGCAAGCGUUAAUCGGAAUUACUGGGCGUAAAGCGUGCGCAGGCGGUUAUAUAAGACAUAUGUGAAAUCCCCGGGCUCAACCUGGGAACUGCAUUUGUGACUGUAUAGCUAGAGUACGGCAGAGGGGGAUGGAAUUCCGCGUGUAGCAGUGAAAUGCGUAGAUAUGCGGAGGAACACCGAUGGCGAAGGCAAUCCCCUGGGCCUGUACUGACGCUCAUGCACGAAAGCGUGGGGAGCAAACAGGAUUAGAGACCCCCGUAGUCCCUGUCUCUUAUAC
RNAcentral lists this ribosomal RNA (301 nucleotides) under uncultured bacterium. RNAcentral describes it as "partial 16S ribosomal RNA". It matches the Rfam family "Bacterial small subunit ribosomal RNA", at positions 509 to 807 of the family's 1533-position model. The record is from RNAcentral.